This 434-nucleotide long non-coding RNA is filed under the name Panax ginseng (ginseng). RNAcentral's name for it is "long non-coding RNA (PGIN_LNC013044)". The record is from RNAcentral. Lineage: Eukaryota; Viridiplantae; Streptophyta; Magnoliopsida; Apiales; Araliaceae.
UAAACCCAAAAAUGGUGGCUGGAGAGACGGAGGAGGAGGAUCGUGGAUUGUAGAUGGAAAAUGGUGGCCGGAGGUUGGAGUGUUGGACUGUUUUGGAGCGGAUCUGGCAAUUGGGAUCGGAGAUCGUAGUUGUUACGAUGGUUGGGUUGUUUUAUCUUUGAAGGUGGGUCGUUCUCUCCUUCUACUUCAACCUCUGUCAUUAUUACCCAAAGGUACAAAUUUCAUUCCUUUUGAAUUUUCCCUAAACCAUUCUCAGUACACUGUUUCUUAGCCCAUCCGUUCCAUUUUCUCUCUCGCAAAUUUGCCAAAGUUAUCAACACCAAAAUUUUCCCAAUUUUGGCUAAAAGUUAUUAAAUUCAUUAAAGAGAUGAAGUCAUGAGCUGAUUAGGAGGGAAAAUUAAAGAUAAUGAGAGCAAAAAAAGAAGUGAUAUUUA